This 941-nucleotide long non-coding RNA is filed under the name Ananas comosus (pineapple). Its description in RNAcentral is "long non-coding RNA (ACOM_LNC025425)". The record is from RNAcentral. Lineage: Eukaryota; Viridiplantae; Streptophyta; Magnoliopsida; Poales; Bromeliaceae.
GUAUAUAUAUAUAGAGAGAGAGAGAGAGAGAGAGAGAGAGAGAGAGAGAGAGAGAGAGAGAGAGAGAGAGAGAGUCCAACUUGUAUGCUAUUAUUAGCAUGGAUGCUUUCAUACUAGCUACUAGGUUGUUUUCAAUAAUGAGAUAUUCGAAUCGAUGAUCAACUCCGUUAAAAAUAAUCUACGUUAUUAGAAUUAUUUAGGAAACAAAUUAUAUAUUUUUUCAACAUCAUUAGACUAGUGAUCAAAAUGUCUCAAAAUUGACACUUUGAAUAGCUGAUGUAAUACAUUUAUAAGUUUAAUAGUGUGAAAAAAUCUAUAUCCAGUAAAAUUUUGAUAGAAUUUUUUUUUACUAUUUAGAACAAGCUCGGUAUCUCUGAUUAGAAAUUUAAGUUUUUUAUUCUUAUUUUUUAUAAGAUUUUUAUUUUCAACCAUUUAGUUUGAGACCAUUCAUUUUAAAGAUAAAUAAUUUUAAAAAAUCAUAAAAAUUGACUUAUAAGUAUUUAUAAUAAUAUAGAUCAUGUCUAAUAGAGUUGUUUCAAAUGCGAUAUCAUAAAAAACAACUUCAUAGCACCGAAUCCUCCAUACUUUUAAUAGUAUUCUAGUCUAAUUCUAAAAAUAUAUAUAUAUAUAUAGAGAGAGAGAGAGAGAGAGAGAGAGAGAGAGAGAGAGAGAGAGUAGAUUUGUAUCCUAUCAACUCCGUUAUGAAAUUUGGUUUUUAAACAGUUUCAAUAGCGUAGAUUAUGUAUAUAAGGAGUUUGAUCGUCAAAUCAGAUGUUCAAUCAUAAAAAAUAACUUGAAAAUACAAAGACCUUCAUACUUAAUUUCAAAAUUAUAUAUACAAGCCGCACUCUCUCUCCAUCUCUCCUAUGAUUAAUUAAUAUAAUUAUACAACACGAACACAACUCACAAACCCGAAUUACCACUCUAUAUAUCAUGACCAU